Molecule: long non-coding RNA, 932 nt
Organism: Mus musculus (house mouse)
Lineage: Eukaryota; Metazoa; Chordata; Mammalia; Rodentia; Muridae
Product: predicted gene, 36130
Exons: 3
Source: RefSeq, a predicted model, not a curated record
UUACUCGCAUUCUUGAAGCCACAGUCAGAGUGACUUACAUUCAUUUCUUCCUGACUCUUCUUGAACGGGGCCACUGAGUGCUGCUUUACCCUGUCUCAGAGAGAAACUCAGUAUUGCUCAUGCAUCAGAAUCGCUGGAUUAAAUUGGCUAUUUCUGUGUGCGUUUGGAAAGUCAGAAACAGAUCCUUGGACAAAGCUUACUAUGCAAACCGUAACCCUUCAAAGCAAGGGCGAGCCCUCGCAUAGCUUUGUGGAGACUGCGGUGUGCGAUGGGAAAGGGGAGCCUCUUCAACAAAUGAUGCCCUGCCUUGCGCUUAUGCGGAGACUCUUUUGAGUUAAAGACACAGUCCAAGUGAGCAAACAUUCUACACCCCACUUCACAGAGAAAUGGGAGCGGAUAUGGUUCUUAGGACCUAGACGACUACCCCAGCCCUAGCUUCCCCACGGUGUGAUCUCCGAUACCUGACAGCCUGCAUGUCCAAAUUUCCAACUUCCAUGCAGAUCUGAAGCCGCAGACAUGGGAUAGCCGAUGCUACUGACCCCUAUAUCCGUGAAAGCCAGGUUGAUAAUCACUGCAUUGGUGGGUGUCCGCAGCUCCUUGUACUUGAUGAAGAUACCCAGGACUACUACGUUGCUGAGAAUGCUCGUGAUACCUAAGGAUGCACACGGAAGGAGCACACAAUCUGUUUAACUUGAACGUUUAGAAGAGAAUGAAAAUUCAAUACUGAAGUUGCUUCAAAAGAGAGCAAGCUCAGCUUAGCCCCUUGUUUGAAGAGGUCCCGUUCUUCUUAGAACUGUAACAUCUUCUGGAAAAUAGAAAUGAAAUGAAAACACAAAGAACUUGAUGAUUGCAGAAGCCAGAGCUGAAGUCUGGCUUCAGUGUCAUCACCAUCGAGCAUCUGUCUGUCUCUAUAAAUUCCCCUGUAGCUUCCA